Molecule: ribosomal RNA, 580 nt
Filed under: uncultured deep-sea bacterium
Lineage: Bacteria
Description: bacterial SSU rRNA
Rfam family: Bacterial small subunit ribosomal RNA
Source: RNAcentral
GGCCGCAAGGCUAAAACUCAAAGGAAUUGACGGGGGGCUCACACAAGCGGUGGAGCAUGUGGAUUAAUUCGAAGCAACGCGAAGAACCUUACCUGGGUUUGACAUGCUAGGAUGCACCCGUGAAAGCGGGCUAUGCUACUCUUUGAGUGAAACUAGCACAGGUGCUGUACGGCUGUCGUCAGCUCGUGCUGUGAAGUGUCGGGUUAAGUCCCUAAACGAGCGAAACCCCUAUCGUUAGUUACCAGCGGGUCAUGCCGGGGACUCUAGCGAGACUGCCGGCGUCAAGCCGGAGGAAGGUGGGGACGACGUCAAGUCAUCAUGGCCUUUAUGCCCAGGGUGUCACACGUGCUACAAUGGCGGCUACAGAGCGCUGCAAUACCGUGAGGUGGAGCAAAUCGCAGAAAAGUCGCCUCAGUUCGGAUUGGAGUCUGCAAUUCGACUCCAUGAAGUUGGAAUCGCUAGUAAUCGCGUAUCAGCCACGACGCGGUGAAUAUGUUCCUGAGCCUUGUACACACCGCCCGUCAAGUCAUGGAAGCUGGGAGUACCCGAAGUCCGCUUAGCUAACCCUCGGGAGGCGGCG